GACGAACGCUGGCGGCGUGCCUAAUACAUGCAAGUCGAACGAGAGCGACCGGUGCUUGCACUGGUCAAUCUAGUGGCGAACGGGUGAGUAACACGUGGGUAACCUGCCCAUCAGAGGGGGAUAACAUUCGGAAACGGAUGCUAAAACCGCAUAGGUUCUUUAGUCGCAUGACUGAAGAAGGAAAAGAGGCUUCGGCUUCUGCUGAUGGAUGGACCCGCGGUGCAUUAGCUAGUUGGUGAGGUAACGGCUCACCAAGGCGAUGAUGCAUAGCCGACCUGAGAGGGUGAUCGGCCACAUUGGGACUGAGACACGGCCCAAACUCCUACGGGAGGCAGCAGUAGGGAAUCUUCCGCAAUGGACGCAAGUCUGACGGAGCAACGCCGCGUGAGUGAAGAAGGAUUUUGGUUCGUAAAACUCUGUUGUUAGAGAAGAACAGCGCAUAGAGUAACUGUUAUGCGUGUGACGGAUCUAACCAGAAAGCC
RNAcentral lists this ribosomal RNA (482 nucleotides) under Granulicatella elegans. RNAcentral describes it as "bacterial SSU rRNA". It matches the Rfam family "Bacterial small subunit ribosomal RNA", at positions 28 to 492 of the family's 1533-position model. The record is from RNAcentral. Lineage: Bacteria; Bacillati; Bacillota; Bacilli; Lactobacillales; Carnobacteriaceae.